UUGAAUCAACAGACUUUGCUUGGCAAUGUAACGAAAUAAUAUUUAAAAUGAACUCCCGAAGAGACGUUUCGCGGACUAAAGAAAUGGUAGCUCUACAGAUAGUGGUGAGCGCAGGAUACCUGUUUACCAGUGUUAAUCAACAGUUACGCCCAUCCUCUGUCACCUGUCACCUCUAUAACUUUGGGCUGUCACAUAUCUUUCAAGUGUCUAUCUUAUCAACUCUCGAUGGUAGAUUAUGAGCCUACCAUGGUCGUAAUGGGGGACGGGGAAUCAGAGUUCGAUUCCGGAUAGAGCUACCACAUUCAAGAAAGGCAGCAGUCGCGCAAAUUACCCACUCCCAGAAUGCGGAGGUAGUGAUGAAAAAUAACAAUACGGGACUCUUUUGAGAUCUCGUAAAUGAAAUGAGUACACUCUAAAUCUUUAACAAGGAUCAGUUGUAGGAAAGUCUGGUUCUAGCAGCUGUGGUAAUUCCAGCUCACA
RNAcentral lists this non-coding RNA (480 nucleotides) under Stegodyphus mimosarum. RNAcentral's name for it is "eukaryotic small subunit ribosomal RNA". It matches the Rfam family "Eukaryotic small subunit ribosomal RNA", at positions 126 to 593 of the family's 1831-position model. The record is from Rfam by way of RNAcentral. Lineage: Eukaryota; Metazoa; Arthropoda; Arachnida; Araneae; Eresidae.